Long non-coding RNA from Medicago truncatula (barrel medic), 1753 nucleotides. RefSeq lists it as uncharacterized. The record is from RefSeq and is a predicted model, not a curated record. The transcript is spliced from 2 exons. NCBI's taxonomy places the organism in Eukaryota, Viridiplantae, Streptophyta, Magnoliopsida, Fabales, Fabaceae.
AAAAUAUGAGGUGCUCUACUUAUAAAGUGAUCAAAUAAUGGGUUGUUUAUUACAUACAAAAUUAACCAAACAAAAUAUGGGAGGAAUAAUAAAAAUUGUGUAUGCUUUUGUCAUCUUUAUUUCCCUAAUUCUUAUUGUAACUAGUAACGUUCACAGUUUACUCCCCUGCGGAACUGAUGAUGAUUGUGCAAAUGAUCCAUGUAUUCAUCCCGAAUAUCCACAUUGUCAUAUGGAACAAUGUCAUUGCGUUUAAGCAUGAAAAUUAAGUUAAAAUAAAUUUCAUGUUACUUCUAAUUAGUUUAUAAUUUAUCAUGGGCAUCACAAUGUUUUUCCAAAUUUAAAAAUUUCUCGCAUUUUAAUUUAUACUUCUGUGACCUUUCUUAUUUGAAAAGAUUAUGCUUCUAGGACCUUGUUCUCAAAAGCGUGAUGCAACUAUAUUAUAAUACAAGUAUUUUUUUUUUUAAAGAAUUAUUAUGCAAGUAUUGUUACCUUUGUUUGCUCGUAAUAGAUAUCAAUAACACCAACUUCAUUGAAAUUUUUAAUUAGUUAAUUUAAUGAAUAAAGACAAAAUUUGAUUUAGUAUAAUAAUAACGUAUUGUUCUUUCAAUUUUAGUGUAGUGAAUGAUAUAAAAUAAAUAAAUAACAAUAUAAAUUUUAAAUGAACUCAUUAAAAUUAAAUACAUAUGAAUAUUGUAAACAAUUUAUGGUUACAUUGGUAUUCUUGGACUAAAAGAACACAUAAGGGAAAAUUCAUUCCAUUUUAAAUAGUAAUAAUUGGGUUUGAGUCAUGUAUUUUGUAUCCACUUAAAUAAUAAGCACUAUACUAGUUGAUUUUUUAUUUUAUUUUUACUUAAAUUGUGAACUCUGAUUAGUCUGUAAUUGGGUAUUUCCACACAAUGCUUUUAUUUAAUAGAUAUUCAAGAGACAAUAUAAUCGUAAAUUACAGAUUCAUAAUUAACUAGUUGACAUGUAAAAGACCAUUGUUUAAUAUAUAUGUUGCUUGUUUGGGCACAUUGUAAACUCUUAUUUGUACGUAGAUAAAAACAUUAUAAAAACCUAGAUGCUUAUAUAUCCGUAAUUAGAUAAAAACAUCAUAAAAACCAUUGAUAAGUGUCAAAUGAAUAUUAUUUUAUCUAUGUAACUCAUGACACUUAUUGAAUUGUUUUGCAAGAAACAUUAUAAAAACUAAAAUAAUUGCAAAUAUUAUAGUACCAAGAUUAUAUUAGUAUUGUUUGCACUUUAACUAUUUUUUCCAACACAGUGUAUGUCUAAUAGAAGAAGAAUGAAAGUUACAAGCAUUGAACUCAAAAGAAGAAAAUCAUGGCCAUCCCCUAGCGAGCCAAACACUCGCCCAACAAAGCAAGUCACACACCAAAGGCAUAAAAGGUGAAUUCGUCCAUCGAAGCACAUGGUUUGCAUGGCGAAAAACAUGAACAGAGAUGAUCACCCAUUAUCAGUUCUAUAUCAAGAUCUAUGAAGGGCGAUAGGUGAAUGUAUAAUUGAAAUAAGAGGAGUUUAUAGCCCGAUUAAGUGUUUACUUUUCUUUUCAGCCAUUAAAAGUUUAUACAUAAAUUAGAUUUAGUGUUUACUUUUCUUUUCUUUUAUAAUUUAUUUUUUUCUUUUAUAACUUUAAUUUUUAUUAGAGAUAUAGUUUACUUACAAGUAGUAUUAGUCCUAUAGUAGUAUAUAUAGUUGUAACCACCUCAUUAGUGGGACAAUUCACGUAAUAUCACUCUUUAGUCUUUACUAUCAA